AGAACGAACGCUGGCGGCAGGCCUAACACAUGCAAGUCGAACGCCGUAGCAAUACGGAGUGGCAGACGGGUGAGUAACGCGUGGGAACAUACCCUUCGGUUCGGAAUAACUCAGGGAAACUUGAGCUAAUACCGGAUACGUCCGAGGUUUUAAUCGACCUUGGAGAAAGAUUUAUCGCCGGAGGAUUGGCCCGCGUCUGAUUAGCUUGUUGGUGAGGUAAUGGCUCACCAAGGCGACGAUCAGUAGCUGGUCUGAGAGGAUGAUCAGCCACAUUGGGACUGAGACACGGCCCAAACUCCUACGGGAGGCAGCAGUGGGGAAUAUUGGACAAUGGGCGAAAGCCUGAUCCAGCCAUGCCGCGUGAGUGAUGAAGGCCUUAGGGUUGUAAAGCUCUUUUACCCGGGAAGAUAAUGACGGUACCGGGAGAAUAAGCCCGGCUAACGUUCGCGCCAGCAGCCGC
RNAcentral lists this ribosomal RNA (460 nucleotides) under uncultured bacterium. RNAcentral's name for it is "SSU rRNA". It matches the Rfam family "Bacterial small subunit ribosomal RNA", at positions 26 to 518 of the family's 1533-position model. The record is from RNAcentral.